AGACUACCCGCUGAAUUUAAGCAUAUCAAUAAG
Molecule: ribosomal RNA, 33 nt
Filed under: Misodendrum punctulatum
Lineage: Eukaryota; Viridiplantae; Streptophyta; Magnoliopsida; Santalales; Misodendraceae
Description: partial 26S ribosomal RNA
Source: RNAcentral